CCUACGGGAGGCAGCAGUGGGGGAUAUUGCACAAUGGGGGGAACCCUGAUGCAGCGACGCCGCGUGGGGGAAGGAGUGCUUCGGCAUGUAAAGCCCUGUCGGCAGGGAAGAAGCAAGACGGUACCUGACUAAGAAACCCCGGACAACUAAGGGCCAGCAGCCGCGGGAAUACGUAGGGGGCGAGCGUUAACCGGAUUCGAUGGGGUGAAAGGAAGCGGAGAGGGCCAAGCAAGCCGCGGGUGAAAGCCCGGUGCCCAACCCCGGGACUGCCCUUGGAACUGGAUGGCUGGAGUGCGGGAGGGGCAGGCGGAAUUCCUGGUGUAGCGGUGAAAUGCGUAGAUAUUAGGAGGAACACCAGCGGCGAAGGCGGCCUGCUGGACCGCGACUGACGUUGAGGCACGAAAGCGUGGGGAGCGAACAGGAUUAGAUACCCCAGUAGUC
Molecule: ribosomal RNA, 441 nt
Filed under: uncultured bacterium
Lineage: Bacteria
Description: partial 16S ribosomal RNA
Rfam family: Bacterial small subunit ribosomal RNA
Source: RNAcentral